This is a long non-coding RNA of Orcinus orca (killer whale), 366 nucleotides long. RefSeq lists it as uncharacterized. The record is from RefSeq and is a predicted model, not a curated record. The transcript is spliced from 4 exons. Lineage: Eukaryota; Metazoa; Chordata; Mammalia; Artiodactyla; Delphinidae.
AGGCUUACUGGGGAACAUGAGAGCUCUCUUGGAUCCUGCAAAGUAGAAGAGAUUCAUUAUGGAUACCACCAAGGGAGAGAGUUGCAAUUAACUGGUGGAAGCUCCAAGAGGGACAUCUGACAGCAGAAACUUGGAACUGUGUUUGGAGCUAGAGAGGAAUGUUCCUGAAGUUGCCACCCAGAUCCUGAAGCAGCGUGUCACUGAGAUUCAGGCACCUUCUAACAAGAAACGAGUGGGAGUUGUGCAUGGAAAAAUGUCUGGAUGUCUGCCUUCUACAGUGUUAUUUAUUCAGUCACAACUUUGGCAAUUGUCUCUUCUUACUUCAUGGUUCUGGGAAACAAGAGGAUUACUCAGCCUUACUCCAAG